GACGAACGCUGGCGGCGUGCUUAACACAUGCAAGUCGAACGGAAAGGCCCUGCUUUUGUGGGGUGCUCGAGUGGCGAACGGGUGAGUAACACGUGAGUAACCUGCCCUUGACUUUGGGAUAACUUCAGGAAACUGGGGCUAAUACCGGAUAGGAGCUCCUACUGCAUGGUGGGGGUUGGAAAGUUUCGGCGGUUGGGGAUGGACUCGCGGCUUAUCAGCUUGUUGGUGGGGUAGUGGCUUACCAAGGCUUUGACGGGUAGCCGGCCUGAGAGGGUGACCGGCCACAUUGGGACUGAGAUACGGCCCAGACUCCUACGGGAGGCAGCAGUGGGGAAUAUUGCACAAUGGGCGGAAGCCUGAUGCAGCAACGCCGCGUGCGGGAUGACGGCCUUCGGGUUGUAAACCGCUUUCGCCUGUGACGAAGCGUGAGUGACGGUAAUGGGUAAAGAAGCACCGGCUAACUACGUGCCAGCAGCCGCGGUGAUACGUAGGGUGCGAGCGUUGUCCGGAUUUAUUGGGCGUAAAGGGCUCGUAGGUGGUUGAUCGCGUCGGAAGUGUAAUCUUGGGGCUUAACCCUGAGCGUGCUUUCGAUACGGGUUGACUUGAGGAAGGUAGGGGAGAAUGGAAUUCCUGGUGGAGCGGUGGAAUGCGCAGAUAUCAGGAGGAACACCAGUGGCGAAGGCGGUUCUCUGGGCCUUUCCUGACGCUGAGGAGCGAAAGCGUGGGGAGCGAACAGGCUUAGAUACCCUGGUAGUCCACGCUGUAAACGGUGGGUACUAGGUGUGGGGUCCAUUCCACGGGUUCCGUGCCGUAGCUAACGCUUUAAGUACCCCGCCUGGGGAGUACGGCCGCAAGGCUAAAACUCAAAGGAAUUGACGGGGCCCCGCACAAGCGGCGGAGCAUGCGGAUUAAUUCGAUGCAACGCGUAGAACCUUACCUGGGUUUGACAUGGAUCGGGAGUGCUCAGAGAUGGGUGUGCCUCUUUUGGGGUCGGUUCACAGGUGGUGCAUGGCUGCCGUCAGCUCGUGUCGUGAGAUGUUGGGUUAAGUCCCGCAACGAGCGCAACCCUUGUUCACUGUUGCCAGCACGUUAUGGUGGGGACUCAGUGGAGACCGCCGGGGUCAACUCGGAGGAAGGUGGGGAUGACGUCAAGUCAUCAUGCCCCUUAUGUCCAGGGCUUCACGCAUGCUACAAUGGCUGGUACAGAGAGUGGCGAGCCUGUGAGGGUGAGCGAAUCUCGGAAAGCCGGUCUCAGCUCGGAUUGGGGUCUGCAACUCGACCUCAUGAAGUCGGAGUCGCUAGUAAUCGCAGAUCAGCAACGCUGCGGUGAAUACGUUCCCGGG
RNAcentral lists this ribosomal RNA (1343 nucleotides) under uncultured bacterium. RNAcentral describes it as "16S ribosomal RNA". It matches the Rfam family "Bacterial small subunit ribosomal RNA", at positions 28 to 1378 of the family's 1533-position model. The record is from RNAcentral.